UACGGAGGGUGCAAGCGUUGCUCGGAAUUAUUGGGGCGUAAAGGGCAGGUAGGUGGUCUUAUUUGUCAGGGGUGAAAGCCUUGAGCUCAACUCAAGAAGUGCCCCUGAAACGGUAAGACUCGAGUACUGGAGAGGGUCGUGGAAUUCCCGGUGUAGCGGUGAAAUGCGUAGAGAUCGGGAGGAACACCAGAGGCGAAGGCGGCGACCUGGACAGUUACUGACACUCAACUGCGAAAGCGUGGGGAGCAAACAGG
Molecule: ribosomal RNA, 254 nt
Filed under: uncultured bacterium
Lineage: Bacteria
Description: partial 16S ribosomal RNA
Rfam family: Bacterial small subunit ribosomal RNA
Source: RNAcentral